RNAcentral lists this ribosomal RNA (2263 nucleotides) under marine metagenome. Its description in RNAcentral is "bacterial LSU rRNA". It matches the Rfam family "Bacterial large subunit ribosomal RNA", at positions 14 to 2313 of the family's 2925-position model. The record is from RNAcentral.
AGCGUAUACGGUGGAUGCCUUGGCAACUGGAGGCGAUGAAAGACGUGGCAGCCUGCGAAAAGGCUCGGCGAGGUGGCAACAACCUUUGACCCGGGCAUAUCUGAAUGGGGAAACCCACCUAGUGAGAGCUAGGUAUCUUACACUGAAUACAUAGGUGUAAGAGGCGAACCGGGGGAACUGAAACAUCUAAGUACCCCGAGGAAAAGAAAUCAAACGAGAUUCCCUGAGUAGUGGCGAGCGAAAGGGGACUAGCCCUGAAGUCUGUGAAUGAGUAGGAGAACGACCUGGAAAGGUUGGCCGUAGUGGGUGAUAGCCCCGUAUCCGAAAUUCUGAUCAGAUGAGCACGAGUAGGACGGGACACGAGAAAUCCUGUCUGAAUAUGGGGGGACCAUCCUCCAAGGCUAAAUACUCCCAGUUGACCGAUAGUGAACCAGUACCGUGAGGGAAAGGCGAAAAGAACCCCUGUGAGGGGAGUGAAAUAGAACCUGAAACCGUAUACGUACAAGCAGUGGGAGCAGACUUGUUCUGUGACUGCGUACCUUUUGUAUAAUGGGUCAGCGACUUACAUUCAGUGGCAAGCUUAACCGAGUAGGGGAGGCGUAGGGAAACCGAGUCUUAAUAGGGCGUUUUAGUCGCUGGGUGUAGACCCGAAACCGAGUGAUCUAUCCAUGGGCAGGUUGAAGGUUGAGUAACAUCAACUGGAGGACCGAACCCACUGUCGUUGAAAAGCCAGGGGAUGACCUGUGGAUAGGAGUGAAAGGCUAAUCAAACUCGGAGAUAGCUGGUUCUCCUCGAAAGCUAUUUAGGUAGCGCCUCGUGUAUGACCACCGGGGGUAGAGCACUGUUUCGGCUAGGGGCCCAUCCCGGGUUACCAAACCGAUGCAAACUCCGAAUACCGGUGAGUAUGAGCACGGGAGACACACGGCGGGUGCUAACGUCCGUCGUGAAAAGGGAAACAACCCAGACCGCCAGCUAAGGUCCCCAAUACCAGUUAAGUGGGAAACGAUGUGGGAAGGCAUAGACAGCUAGGAGGUUGGCUUAGAAGCAGCCAUCCUUUAAAGAAAGCGUAAUAGCUCACUAGUCGAGUCGGCCUGCGCGGAAGAUAUAACGGGGCUCAAACUAGACACCGAAGCUGCGGAAUGUAGAUUUAUCUACAUUGGUAGAGGAGCGUUCUGUAAGCCGUUGAAGGUGGAUUGAGAAGUCUGCUGGAGGUAUCAGAAGUGCGAAUGCUGACAUAAGUAACGAUAAUGCGAGUGAAAAACUCGCACGCCGGAAGACCAAGGGUUCCUGUCCAACGUUAAUCGGGGCAGGGUGAGUCGACCCCUAAGGCGAGGCUGAAGAGCGUAGUCGAUGGGAAACGGGUUAAUAUUCCCGUACUUGCACUAACUGCGAUGGAGAGACGGAGAAGGCUAGGCCAUCCGGGCGUUGGUUGUCCCGGUUCAAGGGUGUAGGCUGAAAACUUAGGUAAAUCCGGGUUUUCGUUAAGGCUGAGACCUGAUGAGGGUGACUCUACGGAGUCCGAAGUGGUUGAUGCCAUGCUUCCAGGAAAAUCUUCUAAGCUUCAGGUUAGUGUGAAUCGUACCCCAAACCGACACAGGUGGUCGGGUAGAGAAUACCAAGGCGCUUGAGAGAACUCGGGUGAAGGAACUAGGCAAAAUGGUGCCGUAACUUCGGGAGAAGGCACGCUGUUGUUGGUGAUCGGACUUGCUCCGUAAGCUGACGACAGUCGAAGAUACCAGUUAGCUGCGACUGUUUAUUAAAAACACAGCACUCUGCAAACUCGAAAGAGGACGUAUAGGGUGUGACACCUGCCCGGUGCCGGAAGGUUAAUUGAUGGGGUUAGCGCAAGCGAAGCUCUUGAUCGAAGCCCCGGUAAACGGCGGCCGUAACUAUAACGGUCCUAAGGUAGCGAAAUUCCUUGUCGGGUAAGUUCCGACCUGCACGAAUGGUGUAACGAUGGCUAAGCUGUCUCCACCCGAGACUCAGUGAAAUUGAAAUCGCUGUUAAGAUGCAGUGUAUCCGCGGCUAGACGGAAAGACCCCGUGAACCUUUACUACAGCUUCACACUGGACUUUGAUAUUGCUUGUGUAGGAUAGCUGGGAGGCUUUGAAGCGUGGACGCCAGUUCAUGUGGAGCCAACCUUGAAAUACCAGCCUGGCAAUAUUGAGGUUCUAACGCAGGUCCCUUAUCGGGAUCGCGGACCGUGUGUGGUGGGUAGUUUGACUGGGGCGGUCUCCUCCCAAAGAGUAACGGAGGAGCACGA